Molecule: ribosomal RNA, 444 nt
Filed under: uncultured bacterium
Lineage: Bacteria
Description: partial 16S ribosomal RNA
Rfam family: Bacterial small subunit ribosomal RNA
Source: RNAcentral
CUACGGGUUGCUCCAGUGGGGAAUAUUGCACAAUGGGCGCAAGCCUGAUGCAGCAACGCCGCGUGAGGGAUGAAGGCCUUCGGGUUGUAAACCUCUUUUAGCAGGGAAGAAGCGAAAGUGACGGUACCUGCAGAAAAAGCACCGGCUAACUACGUGCCAGCAGCCGCGGGAAUACGUAGGGUGCAAGCGUUGUCCGGAAUUAUUGGGCGUAAAGAGCUCGGAGGCGGUUUGUCACGUCUGCUGUGAAAAUCCAAGGCUCAACGUUGGACUUGCAGUGGGUACGGGCAGGCUAGAGUGCGGUAGGGGAAAUGGGAAUUCCUGGUGUAGCGGUGGAAUGCGCAGAUAUCAGGAGGAACACCAAUGGCGAAGGCACAUCUCUGGGCCGUAACUGACGCUGAGGAGCGAACGCGUGGGGAGCGAACAGGAUUAGAUACCCGCGUAGUC